CGAUGCUACAACAUAAAUUAUAAGAAAAUUAUGAUGUAGACAUUUUUCACAGUAUAGAAGAUUAAGUUACCAUUGGCUUCCCUAGCCCUAAAUGCAAAUACAUUCCUAUAUUCUAAUUUUUUUUUUUUGAGACAGAGUCUUGCUCUGUUGCCCAGGCUGGAGUGCAAUGGCACGAUCUCAGCUCACUGCAACCUUUGCCUCCCAGGUUCAAGCAACCAAGCAAUUCUCCUGCCUCAGCCCCCCAACUAGCUGGGAUUACAGGCGACUACAACCACACCUGGCUAAUUUUUUGUAUUUUUAGUAGAGACGGGGUUUCACUAUGUGGGCCAGGCUGGUCUCAAACUCCUGACCUCAGGCGAUCCACCUGCCUCGGCCUCCCAAAGGGCUGGGAUUACAGGCGUGAGCCACCGUGCCCGGCCACAUUCCUAUAUUCUAAACGGAAUGAACUUGAAGAUGUGGUGUACUCCUAAGGAACUUUAUGUUAAUAUUUGCCAAAAGUCAAAAUACAUAUCAUAAGGUUUUAGAUCUCUAUGAUAUAGUUCUGAAAAAUCAAUUUUUGUGCCAAAAGAGAUCCAGGCUACCUGACUUUUGUGCAUCUAGAAAAAGAGAUGAAGAAUUCUCUCAUGAUCACACUGGCAUACACACAAAUGCACCACCACACACAUACACACACACAAGUACAUUCUCACAUGCAUAAAUACCAUAAACAAUCAACACACUGGUUUUCUAUGCCUUUUUUUGUGGUUGAAGAACCUUGUGUGUGAGUCUACUUUACAAUUUUGGUACUAAUGUAUGAAUCUUUUUACCUUUUACUCCUAGAUAUUAGACCUAAGCUGCUUAUACCAAAUCCUCAGUAUGGCAGAAUAUUAUGAUGAGAAGCUUUAUUAAUAAAAUAAUACCAUCCCACAGGUUGUCACCAAAUUAUUAAAUAAAAAGGAAACAACCUAGAAGAAAAAGAGAAGGAAAAAAGAGAAAAGGAGAGGAAGAAAAAUGUGAACAAAAGAAUCUGGGAUGCAAACAUAGGAAAAAAGGCUUAAAGAAAAAAAUAUGGUAGGAAUGGGAAGGAGGGAAAAUAAUAGAAGGGAAAAGGAUAUUAACAUGCAAAGCAAAUCCGAAAGUCUUUAUGAAGAAAAGGAAUCAGGAUGAAAGAGGUAUGUGAUAUCAAAAAGAAAUACUGACAACUGAGUAGAUAAUAAAGGGAAACACUUAAAAACUCAGCAGUGGAUUCUUGAGUAAGCUAGAGGGAAAAGAAAGGCAAGAACAGAUAAAAGGAGUAAAAUAAGGAGAGGAAGAAGUCAAAUUUCAUGCUCUGUUAUGUUAUCACAGGAUGCUACACUGAGUAACUCCUACAGUCUUUUCCGCCUGAAAGUCUGACAGUGAUGCUUAACUAGGUAAUGCUAUGGGAAAGCAAGGUGCAAACAAGUCUAGCAGGAAGAAAGAAAUGACUAUGUUUGACUUUAGUGCUCUGCAGUGGUUGAACAAAUUGAGCUGUGUCUCUGUUUCUACUAUUUGAUAGCAACAACAAAAGGUUUACAAAGCACUUUCACAUCCACUGUCUUAUUUGUUUCUCAAAAUUCCCUCAGGAAGUUCUUAUUAUCGCCCACAUUUUGGCAGGAAAAUCUGAGACCCAGUCACAUUAGGCGUUCUGUCUAGCUGUUAAGUGGCAGAGUUGAGAUCCAACCUUGGGUCUCCUGAAUCCAACUCCAGGCUCUUUCCUGGAGAAAUUUACCAACCAUUUUAUCACUAGUUAGUUACCACUCGUUAAACUCAUAUAUUUUCUGGUUCUAAAACCUAUGCUGUGCCCAAAUUUGCUGGUGAAGUACUGGGUUUCAGAAGAGAAUGAUAGUUUUUGCCUCUGUUAUGUUUCCCCAACGAACUUCCCAUUUCUUUUGGGCUUCCGCAUCCACAGGUAACUUGAAAGGGGAGCCAGGCAUUCCGAUGGCUGGGGUUGGGGUGAUGGGGAUGGUGAUGAGGAGGGCAAUGGAGAAGUAUUUAAUGAAAAGCAACCAAUCUAUUCCAUGUACCUUGGUAAUUAAAGAAACCUCUGGACUUUUUCUCAUUGUUGGAUGGAAUGACAGUUCCAAUGAAGAAGUUUGCAAUAGCAAUUAGAAGAAUGACCAGAAGAAUCACUUGGGCCUGGAAUGCAAAGUGUUAACUGCAGGAGUUCGAGAAUGCAGAAUGAUGAACAGAAUUCCUGUGAUUCCCAGUGCACUUGACGUCAGGCUGCUGCGGUGUGCUCAGCACAAGCAGUCUGCAGGGUUAACUGGCCAGAUGGUCUUCCUUCAGCCCCUCCAAUGCUGUAAGGUGUUUAUGGCUUGGUGUUGCCAUAUGCUGUUUCCUUUACCUGGAAAGCACUUCACUCUACUUCUUGCAUAGCUAUUUCCUUCUUUUCAUCCUUUAAGUCUUAGUUACCUCCUCAGAGAGGCCUUUCUUGACAACUUAAUCAUUUAUGUUUUAUUAUUUUGUUUUGUAUUGUUUUAUUUUAUUUUGUUUUCCCGAGAUGGAGUCUCACUCUGUCGCCCAGGCUGGAAUGCAAUGGUGCGAUCUCGGCUCACUGAAACCUCUACUUUCUGGGUUCAAGCAAUUCUCCUGCCUCAGCCUCCCGAGUAGCUGGGAUUACAGGCAUACGCCACCCUGGCUAAUUUUGUAUUUUUAGUAGGGACAGGGUUUCACCAUGUUGGCCAGGCUGGUCUCGAACUCCUGACUUCGUGAUCUGCCCGCCUCAGCCUCCCAAAGUGCUGGGAUUACAGGUGUGUGCCACCGUGCCCGGCCCAUUUAAAUAAUAACAGCUAUCUGUUCACUGAGGGCUUACAAUAGAACAGAUGCAGAUUUAACUUUACCUGUAUUCUUUUAGGUAAAUAAUACCACUAACAAACUGACAGCCUUAUGGAAUAGGCAAUAUUAUUAUCCUCAUUUUAAAGGUAAAGACACUGAAGCACUGGGAGGUUAAAUAAUUUACUGAAGGCCGCAGAGAUAUAAACUGGAUUCAAAUUCAGGCACUCUAACUACAGAGCUGGAGCUUUAAAUGCUACCCUCUACUGCUACUAAACUUCAUCGCCUCACUCAGGGAAUAAAGUUAUCUAAAGUAGGGUUCUCCUUUGUUUUUUCAUCACAGUGUCCUGUUGAUACUAAUUUUCACAAAUUCCCUUUUUAUAUUUAUUUCUUUAUUUGCUUGCUUAGUAUUGAUCUCUUCAUAGACCAUAUAUAGGGAUUAGGCUUGUUUUGGUCGCAGGUGAAUAUCAGUGCCUAGAAGAAUGCUCAACACAUGGAAGGCACUAACUUUAUUUUUGUUGAAUGUGUGAAUGCAUAAUCUACAAAUAAAUGCCACGUAGGAAUGUUUUCUAUUGACUUAUAGGUGGGCGGCUUUGGCUGUCUUUCCACAUCUCAUGACUGCUUGAGAUCUAGUUACUUCAUCCACAGGCACGUAGGAAUAUUUUCAAUUGUACCAGUCACUUGAGGGAAUUACAAAGGAGGCAAAAGACAUGUUUCCCAUCAUUCAGAAAUUUACUAUCCAUUUUAUCACUAGUUAAACUCAGAGAUUUUCUGGUUCUAAAGCCUAUGAGCCUAAAUUUGCUGGUGAAGUACUGGCUUUCAGAAGAGAAUCAUAGUUUUUGCCUCUCUUAUGUUCCCAACACUCUUGCCAUUUCUCUUGGGCUUUUGCACCCACAGGCAGCUUGAAAGAAGAACCAGGGUUUGUGAUUGAGAGACCCAGGCUUCCAGCGUGCACCACUGCUAUGAUCAUAAGGGGUCUGUGCAUAAGGCAGCCACCUUGGUGACAGCACAGAGAGGCAAAAUACAGCAAUCAUGUGACUCGUGAGCCCUGAGUCAUGACUGCCUGGGCUUCGUGCUUUGCAGGCUUGGUGAUCCACCUAGCACUUGCCUGCUCAUUUCACCAUAGCAGCUACUGAAAUUCCUAGAAGAAUCACCACUGUGAUGGAGCCUAUAAUCCGGAUGUCAUUGGUUGGAUCCACCAUCAUCGAAUCACUCUCCUGGG
This is a long non-coding RNA of Symphalangus syndactylus (siamang), 3994 nucleotides long. RefSeq lists it as uncharacterized. Lineage: Eukaryota; Metazoa; Chordata; Mammalia; Primates; Hylobatidae. The record is from RefSeq and is a predicted model, not a curated record.